CUUGGUCAUUUAGAGGAAGUAAAAGUCGUAACAAGGUUUCCGUAGGUGAACCUGCGGAAGGAUCAUUACAGAGUUCAUGCCCUUCGGGGUAGAUCUCCCACCCUUGUGUAUCAUUAUAGAAUGUUGCUUUGGCGGGCUGCGUGCCUAGCAUGCCUCGAUUCGCGUCGAGCGCGCCCGCCAGAGGACCCCUAAACUCUGAAUGUUAGUGUCGUCUGAGUACUAUUAAAUAGUUAAAACUUUCAACAACGGAUCUCUUGGUUCUGGCAUCGAUGAAGAACGCAGCGAAAUGCGAUAAGUAAUGUGAAUUGCAGAAUUCAGUGAAUCAUCGAAUCUUUGAACGCACAUUGCGCCCCUUGGUAUUCCGGGGGGCAUGCCUGUUCGAGCGUCAUUUAUACCAAUCUAGCCUGGCUAGGUGUUGGGCUUCGCCAGCUGGCGGGCCUUAAAACUAGUGGCGGUGCUCUUCAGCUCUACGCGUAAUAAUUUUCUCGCUAUAGGGUCUGGGGAGAUGCUGGCCAGCAACCCCAAAUUUUUCUAGGUUGACCUCGGAUCAGGUAGGGAUACCCGCUGAACUUAAGCAUAUCAAUAAGCGGAGGAAAAGAAACCAACAGGGAUUACCUCAGUAACGGCGAGUGAAGCGGUAACAGCUCAAAUUUGAAAUCUGGCUCUUUUAGGGUCCGAGUUGUAAUUUGUAGAAGAUGCUUUGGGUGUGGCCCUGGUCUAAGUUCCUUGGAACAGGACGUCAUARAGGGUGARAAUCCCGUAUGUGACUAGGUGCCUUCGCCCGUGUAAAGCUCUUUCGACGAGUCGAGUUGUUUGGGAAUGCAGCUCAAAAUGGGUGGUAAAUUUCAUCUAAAGCUAAAUAUUGGCCAGAGACCGAUAGCGCACAAGUAGAGUGAUCGAAAGAUGAAAAGCACUUUGGAAAGAGAGUUAAACAGUACGUGAAAUUGUUGAAAGGGAAGCGCUUGCAACCAGACUUAGUUGCUGCCGAUCAUCUAGGGUUCUCCCUGGUGCACUCGGUAGUAUCUAGGCCAGCAUCGGUUUGGGUGGUGGGAUAAAGGCCUUGGGAAUGUAGCUUCUUUCGGGGAGUGUUAUAGCCCUCGGUGCAAUGCCGCCUACCCGGACCGAGGACCGCGCUUCGGCUAGGAUGCUGGCGUAAUGGUUGUAAGCGACCCGUCUUGAAACACGGACC
Molecule: ribosomal RNA, 1189 nt
Filed under: uncultured fungus
Lineage: Eukaryota; Fungi
Description: eukaryotic LSU rRNA
Rfam family: Eukaryotic large subunit ribosomal RNA (bases 538-1189)
Source: RNAcentral